Anopheles gambiae (African malaria mosquito) is the source of this 440-nucleotide long non-coding RNA. RefSeq lists it as uncharacterized. Lineage: Eukaryota; Metazoa; Arthropoda; Insecta; Diptera; Culicidae. The transcript is spliced from 3 exons. The record is from RefSeq and is a predicted model, not a curated record.
AAGGGGAUUCGAUCACUUUGUCAAUGUAUGUGUGAGCAUCACUUCUGCUUUGUUGACGGCAGGAAUGGCUUCAAAAUUAAAUCAACGAUAAACUCUAAAUAAAAAGCAGUUUUACGAUAGAAAAAUUGAUUGUUCGUGAAUCGACACAACAAAAGUGUUCAUUGCUAACGCGCACCGGCACUCGGCAACUGGCCGCGAUAAUACAUAUAGCACGGUAAAAUACGGUGUUAUUUUCUGAAUAAGCUUGUGACAAGAGCUUCUAUAUAGUCAAAGUUGACAACAAGAGUGUUUUUAGUAUCUACGAUAUUCUUGUGUGGUAAGUGAACAAUUUUAUUUGAUCGUAUAAUUAUUGUAUGUGACGAUCCAUAGUCGUCAACUCGUGCGACUUCACAACAUAACUGUGGUGGAUCAAAGUGCUUUGUGCUCCGAUCACUUCAGAA